This 279-nucleotide ribosomal RNA is filed under the name uncultured bacterium. RNAcentral's name for it is "partial 16S ribosomal RNA". It matches the Rfam family "Bacterial small subunit ribosomal RNA", at positions 506 to 784 of the family's 1533-position model. The record is from RNAcentral.
UGCCAGCCGCCGCGGUAAUACAGAGGGUGCAAACGUUGUUCGGAAUCACUGGGCAUAAAGCGCACGUAGGCGGCCCGUUAAGUGUGGAGUGAAAUCCCACGGCUUACCCGUGGAACUGCUCUGCAUACUGGCGAGCUCGAGGACGGUAGGGGAGAGCGGAACUCUUGGUGGAGCGGUGAAAUGCGUAGAUAUCAAGAGGAACACCGAUGGCGAAGGCAGCUCUCUGGUCCGUUUCUGACGCUGAGGUGCGAAAGCUAGGGUAGCGAACGGGAUUAGAUA